Dermacentor andersoni is the source of this 2753-nucleotide long non-coding RNA. RefSeq lists it as uncharacterized. The record is from RefSeq and is a predicted model, not a curated record. Lineage: Eukaryota; Metazoa; Arthropoda; Arachnida; Ixodida; Ixodidae.
ACAUUUGAGAUGUCAUGUGUCAGCACAUAUAUGCCAAGAAAAAAACUUUUAAAUUACGACAAAAAUUAAAUCCUUUGUUGCAGUGUUGUCACACUUUUUACGAGGGAACUGUGACCUGAAUCACUUCGGGAUAAAUGCAUCGGCUGGCGGCUGAUGUUCAAGUUCACCUACCCGCAGCCACCCGCAGCCGCGCAAUCGCAGAAGUGCGCGGCGCGCGAGCGCUUCUUAGUUUGUCGAAGGCGCAAACGCAAUACGCUUGCUUCUGUGAACCCGAACUGUUUAUGAGCCAGCACGCUGCUGGUCAGCCAAGCUAGCGUGCGAUGCACCCUGUUCCAGCUGCCUUUAGCUUGUCCACCUCAAUGACGAGACGUUCAUUUGAGGGAUCGAUCGCCAGCCAUCUGUGUGCAGGCGCGAGUAAGAGCGGGCAUGAGAGAGAAAAUCUGGGUGCCUUGAAUGUAUGACUGCCUAGGCACUACGGAGGGCAAAGUUCUGAUUGGUGUUGCAGAAGUCGCGGUGCGCGGUAUUGCUGAGCUUGGUGUCACAAGUUGGCAGCUGUACGUAAUAAUAUUGAUGCAAUCGUUUUUUUUUUUUUUUACUAAUUGUAACAACGUGUCAUUAUUUCACAUUAUUGGCGGCGCCUGAGCGGCAACGGGGACACCAAAGCUAGUACCCAGACUGGUCCGUGGGUUGGGGCUCGCCGAGGCCUGCACGUGCCAGGAGUGUAUAAAUAAGAUCGGCUGUCCGCGAGAGCGGACACAAAUUUUUUAUGUGAACACCCCCUGACACGCUUCGGCCUCCGCGGCACCAACCCAAUAGGCCGCCCUGCUUCCAGCUUUGACGCCUUGAGUGCCCUGGUGAUCCUGCGCCGCCUGCUUUAUUAUAACCUCAGGUGCUUUCGAGGCCUCCGUUUGCCGGUUACAUGUGCCCUCCUAGAGCAGUGCUUGUAAAAAAUCCAAUCUAUCGUCGCGACGAAAAAAGCGACCCGCGACUUGUACAACACAAGUCAGAAACUUGCCCCCUCAGAGACAGCGAUCACCAAAUGGGGUGUCCGUGCCCACUGCCUCACCACGUGGGCAGCCAGCGGUGGAGCGUAAACACUCGACCGCACUCCGCACUGCCCUCAUGUCUAGGGGACAAACGAAUACAACCCGUGCUAAGAAACCUCCUCCGUAGUGCCUAAGCGGAGUCAUAUUUAAGGAGCAAAAGCCCCUGAUUUUCUCUCUCACGCCCGAUCUUACUCAAUCCUGCACACAAAUGACUGGCUAUCCCUCAAAUGAAUGCCUCGUCACCCUAGUGCGCUCAUCGAGCGGAGGCAGAACGCAUCGAGGCGCUGCUGUUGAACGUAGACAACCAUAAUGUGGCUGAACUAGAAUGCUUUGCAUUAAAAGAACAUCGUGGGUGCGCAGUGAAGUUGUCUCAGUGCACAAAGGAGCUAGCAAAGUAUAUGCGCUCUGUGGCUAGCAGACAUGCGGUUUGCUGAUACACGAAGCAGACCAAGCAGACGACCUGGGCGCUGGUUCUCAAGUCACCAUAGCACGUCACUUCCGAUGACUGGUGCUCUGUGAUGUGGACUUGCUCGUGCAUGCCGCUGGAUUUCUUGCAACACCACCAGAUGUCGCUUGCCUCCGCGCAUCCCCGCUGGUGCCGCUGCGGCAGCGUUUCAUAGUUUGUGCAUAUGGCACAUGCUGUGCUUGCUUUCCUAUGCAACAAAAAUGCAGGUGUUGGGCUGUGAUAGUGUAAACAUUACAAACGUCUAUAGCCUGAAGAGUGCACUUGGAGCUGGCAUCUCAACAAUGUGCUGGCCACAUAUGCAUUUAGAAGGAGCACAUAUACAUGCACCAGCAAAAUGGCUGCAAAGCAUGCACUCAGUGUCGAGGACACCCACGCCUGAAAGAAGCGUCGCACAGAACAGGAAUGUCUUCGCUACGCAGCGAAAUGUGGUGCAGACCGUGAAUGUAUGUAUACAAUGUAUACAUACAAUUAUAAUAAUUGAAUUACGUACAGCCUCAUAACCCAGGGAGCCUGCAGCUAGCUAUACUCUGUUCCAUACAUAGCAGUCAACGCUGUAUAAGCCUAUGCAAGAAGUUCGGUCAAGAAAAGUUAUCACUGUGCGCCUUCCGUCUGUGCUUCGCUGCGUGCCAACAGCGUUCGCUCAUCCGAGCAUGUACAUCAUGCUCCUCGCGAUGGGUUGCAAAUAAAAACUCGAAAAUAAAAUAAAAAUAAAAAUUAUUUAAAAGAACGCAUUAGCAGCCGUAUACCAAAUUAUGUUUGUUUAUAAGGAUUAAAACUUGUUUCAUUCAAUACUGAUUAUAUAUAAAAAAUAGUUGCGCACAAUUGCAGUCAAAAACAUCAAACUAUACCCAAGUGCAAACGAAGCCACUGCAAGAAGUCUCUCUAGCCUCCACAGCGUUGACUGCUAUGUAUGGAGCGGAGUAUAGUAGACGUCUAGCUUCCAGCUUGAUCUAGCUAAGGCCACAGCUAGUAGCCAUCUUUUGUAAGCUGUACUCUAGACCUAGACCUCUACAAGCCAGCUGGUAGUGCAGCUAGCGCUUCCUCCACUUACGGCUAGUAGCCACCUUGAGAAGCACUCUGUAGCUGCGGUGUAGACGUUCAAUGUCCAGCCUUGUUUCAGCUUCUUAGGUGUUAUAGUUAGCUCUACUAACCAUGUUUAUGAUCCUAGAAGGUUUUCUUAUUUCCCAUGUCGCUACAAUAGCACAUGAAAGGCAACAACCACAGUAAAGUUUUCACUUUGA